This 393-nucleotide ribosomal RNA is filed under the name uncultured bacterium. RNAcentral describes it as "partial 16S ribosomal RNA". It matches the Rfam family "Bacterial small subunit ribosomal RNA", at positions 523 to 918 of the family's 1533-position model. The record is from RNAcentral.
AUACGGAGGAUGCAAGCGUUAUCCGGAUUUAUUGGGUUUAAAGGGUGCGCAGGCGGCGCGUUAAGUCAGCGGUGAAAUCUCAUGGCUCAACCAUGGAACUGCCGUUGAUACUGGCGUGCUCGAGUACGGACGGCGCCGGCGGAAUGUGUCAUGUAGCGGUGAAAUGCUUAGAUAUGCCACAGAACACCGAUCGCGAAGGCAGCUGGCGAGGCCGGGACUGACGCUCAGGCACGAAAGCGUGGGGAUCAAACAGGAUUAGAUACCCUGGUAGUCCACGCAGUAAACGAUGAAGACUUGUUGUCGGCGAUAGAAUGUCGGUGACAAAGCGAAAGCGAUAAGUCUUCCACCUGGGGAGUACGAUCGCAAGGUUGAAACUCAAAUGAAUUGACGGGG